This 110-nucleotide ribosomal RNA is filed under the name Pelomonas sp. Root1237. The record is from RNAcentral. Lineage: Bacteria; Pseudomonadati; Pseudomonadota; Betaproteobacteria; Burkholderiales; Sphaerotilaceae.
GACGACCAUAGCGACUUGGUCCCACUCCUUCCCAUCCCGAACAGGACAGUGAAACGAGCCAGCGCCGAUGAUAGUGCGGAUUCCCGUGUGAAAGUAGGUCAUCGUCAGGC